AUGCCUUCAGUCUUGCGUAUGCUCUGUAUUUUGCUCAGCCUUCUCUGUUUCAACACCUCAAUACUAGCUGCAGCACAAGCAAACAUGUCUGAGAUCGAUCGCCAUGCCCUCCUUUGCUUCAAGUCAGGCAUCAACUCUGAUCCCCUUGGCAUCCUACACUCAUGGGGCAAUGGCUCGCUUGACUUUUGCAGCUGGAAAGGGGUCGCCUGCGGCACCAAGUUUCCACCCCGGGUGGUCUCUCUUAACCUCACCGCUGCUCGUCUCGGUGGGCAGUUAUCUGGAUGCGUGGGCAACCUGACAUUUCUUUCUCGGAUGAACCUUGCUGAUAAUCAUCUGUCAGGAACCAUCCCCGAAGAGUUGGGUAAGCUUCCAAACCUUCAUACACUGAUUCUUGCAGGCAGCAAUCUGGAAGGUAACAUCCCUGAUUCACUAGGCGCUAGCAGUUUUCUUAGCUAUGUCGACCUUGCAAACAACACACUUACUGGCAAAAUCCCUCUCUCAUUAGCCAGUAGCUCCUCACUCAGCAAACUUAUACUGUCACGUAAUAGCCUCUCAGGAGAGAUCCCUUCUACUUUGUUUGGUAAUUCAUCCAAGCUUACCGUCGUUGAUCUCCAGAUGAAUUUUUUCACUGGUCCCAUCCCACAUUUCCAUAAGGUCACAACACUCAAAUUUCUUCGUCUGACAGACAACUUCCUCUCUGGGAGCAUACCUCCUUCAAUAGGAAAUGUUUCUUCCCUCACUUCUAUAUUGCUCGGCCGAAAUAGGUUAUCGGGAUUAAUUCCAGAGACUUUGAGUCACAUUACAAAACUGCUUGAGCUUGAUCUAAGUUUCAACAGCUUAUCAGGGAGCGUCCCGUUGUCUUUUUACAACAUGACAUCACUUGAAUUCUUUAAUGUGUGCAGCAAUGCCCUUGUUGGACAGAUGCCAUCUCACAUUGGUUUCUCACUACCAAACCUCCAGUUCCUUAUCAUGGGAAGCAACAGGUUGGAGGGCCUGAUCCCUGCUUCACUAUCCAACAUGUUAAAUCUCCAAACACUUGAUCUUUCAAACAACUCGUUACAUGGCUCUGUGCCAUCUCUUGGUUCUUUGGCAAACUUGGGUCGGUUGGAUUUAGGAAUGAACUUUCUAGAAGCACAUAACUGGUCAUUUCUUACAUCUCUAGCAAAUUGCACCCAGCUGACAAAGUUGUCCUUGGAAGGGAAUGUUCUAAAUGGCAGCCUACCUAUAUCAAUUAUUAAUCUUUCCAGGAGACUAGAACAUUUAUCGCUUGGGUCAAACCAAAUUUCGGGCUCCAUACCUGUUGAGAUUAGCAAUCUUGUUAAUCUCACUUUGCUUGGGAUGGAAAGCAAUUUUCUUUCUGGAAGCAUACCUUCUACCAUUGGCAAGCUACGAAACCUAUAUGUCCUAAAUCUGUCAAAGAACAAAUUAUCAGGUCAGAUCCCCCCCUCAAUUGGUGACAUUACUCAACUGGGCAAGCUUUAUCUUGAUGAUAACAACUUGAGUGGAAACAUACCUGGUAGUUUAGGUCAGUGCCCGGGGCUUCUUGAACUAAACUUGUCUCGAAAUAGUCUUGAUGGCUCAGUACCAUCCGAAUUGUUUGCUAGUCCUCCACUCUCCUUGGGUCUGGACUUCUCACACAACAGUCUCACAGGGGAACUACCAUUGGUAGUUGGUACACAUAGCAGUGGUGGUCCAGUAUCCCUUCACAUGGAAGGAAACAAGUUUCAUGGACAGAUUCCAGAAAGAUGGCAUCUACUAGUAUCAACCCAACAUAUUAAUCUUUCUCAUAAUGACUUAUCUGGUGCCGUGCCUGAAUUCUUUGAGCGAUUUGAUAUGCUGAAGCAACUUGAUCUGUCUUACAAUAACUUGGAAGGGUCUGUUCCUACUAGUGGGAUCUUUAAGAAAUAUGCUGCAGUAGUUCUGGGUGGCAACAAGGGACUCUGUUUAAAUUCCUCCAAGUUGAUAAAAAUAAGAAAUUCCUUUAGGCCAGCAUUACCAGUUUGUCCUCGCAUCUCAGCUUCAGUGACUAAAUCAAAACACCAUCUGUCAUUGCUGACGACCUCGCUGCUAAUUGUACUACCAACACUUAGUAUUGGUUCCAUGGUGUUGUUAUGGUUUCUGCUCACUCUUUGGAAGAAAGGGUUGUUUUCGUUUUCACGAUGGGAUCUUGUGUCCAAGGUGUUUCCUAAUAGAAGAGAAGUGCAUACAGCCCCGUGCCAUGAUGAUAAGAAGCUGAAGAGAGUGUCAUACCAGGACAUUCUUAAAGCUACCAACUGGUUUUCUUCGGUCCAUACUAUCAGCACAACCUGUACUGGUUCAGUUUAUGUUGGUAGGUUCAAGUCCGACAGGAGCCUAGUUGCCAUCAAAGUAUUCAACUUGAGUGAACCUGGUGGAUAUGAUAGUUACCUCAUUGAGUGUGAAGUGCUACGAAGCACCCGCCAUAGAAAUAUAAUGCGACCUGUGACCCUAUGCUCAACAUUGGAUUCACAAAACCAUGAGUUCAAAGCACUAAUCUUCGAGUUCAUGGUUAAUGGCAGCCUAGAGAAAUGGUUGCAUUCUGACCAACACAAUGGAAUCACAGAUAAAGGGCUAAGCUUUGGCCAGAGGAUAUGCAUAGCAGCAGAUGUGGCUUCUGCUCUUGAUUAUGCCCACAACGAACUGACACCUCCUCUGAUCCAUUGUGAUUUGAAGCCAAACAAUGUCCUUUUGGAUGAUGACAUGACUGCGCGGCUCAGUGACUUUGGCUCAGCGAAGUUUCUAUCACCAGGUCUGCUAAUUCCUAAAAGCCUGGAUGAUGUUGGAGGGACAAUUGGAUACCUGGCACCUGAGUAUGGAAUGGGUUGCGAGAUCUCUGUAGACGGCGAUGUGUAUAGUUUUGGAGUGCUUCUACUGGAAUUGCUUACUGGAAAACGACCUACUGAUGAUAUGUUUGUCGAUGGACUUAGCCUUUGUAAGUUCUGUGAAUCUAUGUUACCCGACAGAGUUGCAGAGAUUCUUGAUCCUCAUAUGGCGCAUGAGGAGCAUCAAGGGUGCGCAGAAGGAUGGAUUCAGAGAUAUAUUGUCCCCUUGGUUGCCCUUGGGCUGUCAUGUACCGUGGAAUCUCCAAAGGAUAGGCCCGGAAUGAAAGACGUUUGUGCAAAACUUUCUGACAUUAGAGCCUCUUUUCUUUAA
RNAcentral lists this ribosomal RNA (3171 nucleotides) under Triticum aestivum (bread wheat). Its description in RNAcentral is "partial small subunit ribosomal RNA". Lineage: Eukaryota; Viridiplantae; Streptophyta; Magnoliopsida; Poales; Poaceae. The record is from RNAcentral.